RNAcentral lists this unclassified non-coding RNA (2519 nucleotides) under Hevea brasiliensis (rubber tree). The record is from RNAcentral. Lineage: Eukaryota; Viridiplantae; Streptophyta; Magnoliopsida; Malpighiales; Euphorbiaceae.
GGAAAAAGUCAGUUUUAUAAAUACAGCUGUUACAGACCAAUAAUUUGUGGUACCUUGUCAAUGCUAUUAAAACAUAAAUGAAUUCGCUCAAUACAAAUGCAGCAUGGAUUAUCCAAGCGUACACACACACUCAUGCACAAAUGAACAUGCAUGUCUUGAGAGACUUGCUAGUGAACAUAAAUAACAUGUAAUGAAGAAACAAUAUCAUGUUCGCCAACAAAUCUUUCUUUAUUUCUGUACAUAUUUUUCUGAGUGACACGGUAAAGUAAUCCUCAAUCAGGCUAUAUCUUGUUUAGGAGCAAUAGGAGCAGGAAUUAUACCCCAUUUUCUGCGGACAUCAUCUAAUUCCUCAUGAAAGUGCUUCUCAUAAUAUACACACAUGAGAUUUGUGCACUGCAUUCCAGCUCGGAUGGCCCAUGGGAAGUAGUUCUGAAAGAACAAUCUUCUUUGCUUCUCACUAAAUCUUGCUGUGCCCCCUACAACAGACAUUAGACACAUUGGAAGGUACAUUUGCUCAAACUCUAUCACAUUUACUGCUGACUCGCCAAUUAGGUUGGUAGGGAUGUCAAAUAGUGGGUGCCAGAAGUCAUGCACUUCAGGAGCUCUCAUGGCUACAUAUGCUAGCUCAUCUGUGUCCAUAAAUCGCACUGGAGGGCGAUCAUCUAGGGAAAAGUUCCUAGAUCCCAUGAAUCUUGCAUAGGCGGCACCAAAUGACUUUGUUGGCAUAUCCAAUGCAUGCCCCACUUGUGUAGAUAUGACACGUGGUCUCUCCAAGAGUACUGCUUGUUGGAAAGAUAAAUUUGUUGGUUUUGCUAAUUGCAACAUGAGUCCCAAAUGAUUUCCUUUCAUAGAUAUAUAAAAACAAAGCUUCACACAGAGGUUAAUGGGAAAAAUUGGAUCCUAGUUUUAUAGGCUUCUUUAUUCAAAAGUUCUCUCCUCUUCAACAUAAAAUCUUGAAGAACGUUUAAAUCCUUAGUUAAACAGACCAACAAAUUGAUAAACUCAUGUAUCUGAAGGCAAGUAUCUUUAUAAGAUGUCCAACUUUCUAGGCUUUACCAGUUGUUGAUUCCCUGAGAUUUCAAAUAAAAUCCCAUGAACUCUACCAUGAUGUUGAGCCCACGGUAAAUCAGAAAGCCCACAGGAUCUCACUUGUCCAAAUCACCUAUGGCAUUCUAUUCUUAUCAACCACAUAAGAAAAAAAAAAGCUCUAGAAAGGAUGAGCAAUUGACCAUAAAAAAUGGUAAAUUCUGCAACGGAAAAGGGAAGAACAUUGCUAUGCACCUGAAGCCCAACAAUAAGCUAGAGAGAGUAAAUUGAUGAAUUUCAUUUGAUGAUUUUGGAGCAAAGUCACUUUUUCAACACCUAGUUGCAAGGUUAUUUCAUUGGUAUUCCAUCACUUGAAGCUUAUUAACUAUAACUGUGGACAAUGUCAACAAAUGGAAAUAUUAAACUUCUACUACACUGCUGCUGUUCCACGGCCUACUACAUUUCUAAUUACCAUACCUAGAUAAGUUGAAUAUGUGUCAAUUCUUAUGUUGAAAACACAACAAAAAGUUCCAGAUAUGUUCUUAGUAAGAGACUCCCAUAAAUUAUUUCACAUGAAUCUCAAUUUUCCAAACAAUGACUGAAGUACUUAAUCAUGUAGGAAAUCCUAAAGUUAUUAGAACUACUUAUUUUCAGAAAAAAAUAUAGAAAGAGGUUUAUUUUAUUUAAUAAUUUUAUUUGAUUUGUAAUAUACACCUGGAGUUGGAAUUAGGGUUCUUAAUCCUAAUAUAAUUAAGGUUACAAAACUCGACAAAUAGGGCUUAGUUUCUUCACAUACUUAUGGGAUUUAUUAUGACUAUUGACUAUCGAUUUGAGCAAAUAUAUUGAGAAUUAGUUUCCCCCCAUUUUGAGAAUUUGUUCUCACCCUAAAUCCCCAUUGGUUCUACAUCAAUUUCCAUGGAGUUUCCAAAGUCUCUAUGGCUUGAUUGGUUUCAAUAGCUUCUUUUCCAAAGUCUCUAUGGCUUGAUUGGUUUCAAUAGCUUCUUGAUAGUCUAAAUAUGAUUGGCUUAGUUCUAAAUAUGAUUAAUUAUGGAUAUGUCAUCUAAGAACAUGAUGAACAGUCAAAUGCCAAAAGGCUGGAUAAGAUUUAAUUAUUUGCAUUAGUAGGCAUGAGAUUGAUAAAAACAACAAUCAUACAGAAAAACUCAAAUGGUUCGUUGUGCAUUCCCAUAUCACCAUUUCAUAUUUCAUGAAUCCAAAUAUAAAGAAUACCAUAAAGAAAAAGAAUUUUGGACAAAGAAACUCACUCUGCCUUCUGGGCUCCUCUUCAUCCUCUCAGGAACCCUUUCAAAAGCAAGCUUCCCAGUUGUUUCUCUAAGAGUUGCUAUCAAAUCUACUCUUCAUGGAUUUAGCAAUGCACCCACUGCUGAGCCAAGUGUAACUGCAGCCUGUUGCCACCCAUUCAGCCAGACACGUGCACCCUAUAUCAUUGCACAAACUGUUCUCUUUCGCUGCACAGACCAGUUGGAGAGAGA